RNAcentral lists this ribosomal RNA (94 nucleotides) under Klebsiella pneumoniae. The record is from RNAcentral. Lineage: Bacteria; Pseudomonadati; Pseudomonadota; Gammaproteobacteria; Enterobacterales; Enterobacteriaceae.
UCCCACCUGACCCCAUGCCGAACUCAGAAGUGAAACGUCGUAGCGCCGAUGGUAGUGUGGGGUCUCCCCAUGUGAGAGUAGGGAAUCGCCAGGC